GUGCUCACUUCAGCAGCAUAUAUACUAAAAUUGGAAUGAUAGAGAAGAUUAGCAUGGCCUCAGCACAAGGAUGCUACGCAGAUUCAUGAAGCAUUCCAUGUUUUU
Arvicanthis niloticus (Nile rat) is the source of this 105-nucleotide small nuclear RNA. Lineage: Eukaryota; Metazoa; Chordata; Mammalia; Rodentia; Muridae. The record is from RefSeq and is a predicted model, not a curated record.